RNAcentral lists this ribosomal RNA (497 nucleotides) under uncultured bacterium. RNAcentral's name for it is "partial 16S ribosomal RNA". It matches the Rfam family "Bacterial small subunit ribosomal RNA", at positions 28 to 507 of the family's 1533-position model. The record is from RNAcentral.
GAUGAACGCUGGCGGCGUGCCUAAUACAUGCAAGUCGAGCGAACAGACGAGGAGCUUGCUCCUCUGACGUUAGCGGCGGACGGGUGAGUAACACGUGGAUAACCUACCUAUAAGACUGGGAUAACUUCGGGAAACCGGAGCUAAUACCGGAUAAUAUAUUGAACCGCAUGGUUCAAUAGUGAAAGACGGUUUUGCUGUCACUUAUAGAUGGAUCCGCGCCGCAUUAGCUAGUUGGUAAGGUAACGGCUUACCAAGGCAACGAUGCGUAGCCGACCUGAGAGGGUGAUCGGCCACACUGGAACUGAGACACGGUCCAGACUCAUACGGGAGGCAGCAGUAGGGAAUCUGCCGCAAAGGGCGAAAGCCUGACGGAGCAACGCCGCGUGAGUGAUGAAGGUCUUCGGAUCGUAAAACUCUGUUAUUAGGGAAGAACAAAUGUGUAAGUAACUAUGCACGUCUUGACGGUACCUAAUCAGAAAGCCACGGCUAACUACGUG